Molecule: long non-coding RNA, 6042 nt
Organism: Anguilla rostrata (American eel)
Lineage: Eukaryota; Metazoa; Chordata; Actinopteri; Anguilliformes; Anguillidae
Exons: 2
Source: RefSeq, a predicted model, not a curated record
CGGCCCCUCUAUUAAAUAGUACGGUAUGUACUGUUUAUUCAAUGUUUAGCAAUGGUAGACAUUCUAGAACAUUCUGUCUUCAACAAUUUUGGAAACGGUUUCCACUGUCUGCCCUGCCCAUAUAAAUAUCCUUAUGGGACGACUGCACUCACAAAUGUGAAAUAACACAAAUAAAACAAAUGUGUACCAAAAAAAUAUAACUUAAAAUGCACUUGACUUGCUGUACACCAUGUUUGCCAAUAUGUUUCACUCAAUGCUCCCUGGCAUAUAACGUUGUUUAGGUAAACAGAAAAAUAGCUUUGAUAAUAUCGCUCUUUAUUUGAUGUUAGUUUUCUUUAAAAAAAAAAAAAUCAUUUGCCUCCCCCCUCCCCCCACCCUCAACAUGCGGCAGCCUUGUCCUCAGACAACCUCAUGUCUGGGGAGCAACUGCUGCAGUGUGAUGUGUCUGGAAAUACCUCUGCAGGUUCAUCAUCCACCAAGCCGAGCUCUGCCAGUAAAAUUCACAUUCGGAAAAGAAGCAGCUCAGUCACAGGCACCAUUGCACUAUUUUUACGAAUUAUGUUCAUUUUGUCUUUGUGCUAGAGCGAAUUUGAUUGGUACAAAUGUGUCUCGUUACAUUACAUUUAUUUGGCAGACGCUUUUAUCCAAAGCGACGUACAAAAGUGCAUAUCAAGGUCUCUUUAUGUCCUGCAUAAACCUUUUUCUACAAACACUGAAUUAAAAGGCGCUACAACAUUACAAAUGACAAUACAAAACUGCGUCAAAAUGACGACAUGAAAAAUUUGAAUGUGACAUUGUCCUAAGGGUAUUAAUAACAACAAAAACUGAAAUUAUUAAAUAGUUACAGCAGCUGAUUUAGGGACUGUGACAGGAUUAUUUCAUGUUUAGAAAGAUUGAAGACAUUUAAAGAAGGAAUUUUUUUUUGCCUUCUGUGCUCCUUUAAAUCAAUGUUAAGGUUUUGUAUCAGAUACAAAAGGAACACUAGCUUAGAUGUAUUACUUGUAUUAUUUAUGAUUGCUCCACACUGUAAACAGACUCCUGUUUUCAGCAUGGAGCAGUCGUCGCCACAGUACGCCUUUCUCCUUCGCUCAUUUCCCUGUUACAGUUCGGUUCAGAAAUUGGGGCACUGCCCGCUACUGCCGUAAAUGGCCAGCGAGGCUCGGCAGCCCCCCCCUGCCCCCUGCGAGAGCCACCCACCUGCAUCCCAGCGCCACCCCAUGUUUUCCAAUCUGAGUCUCCCCACAGGAAACCUCGCUGUCACAAUGAAUCGAAUGCGCGAGGUUUACCUAGAGACGACAGAGCUCCUCAGAUGAACCCCUGUGUAGUGGCUGUGGAGCAGAUGGUGACCGAACGUCCCUCUCCUCUCUGCAGCGCCCCUGAGGCGGUCACAGGGGGGCGCUGGCUCAGCGCUGUCUGAGCCCGGCGCCGCUAGUGCCUUUCCCAGCACACAUUACAGCAGCCAGACAAGUCCAGGCAGCACCAGACUCCUCCGCCAUAGCGUCUACGGUAACAUUUAGCACUCUUUCAACCAUAACUGCCUCUUUGCACUUUUGCCUGUUUUACAUGUGAUGAAGGGAAGCAAAAAGCAUAAUGUCUGCUCAGGCAUUAUGUGCGUUCACUUUCUGUUUUUCGCUGAGAGCUCAUCAUUGUGUGUCUAGGGACUAGGGGGCAUGUGUUUAAAAUGUUUGUUUUGGGUGAUGCUGCCCCGAUCUCUCUGUCAGGCUCCUAGGCACAUAUGCCUGUUCCCUGUUGCCGGGGAGACAAAGCACCUUCUCUCAAGCAUGGCAUCAGAGCACUUUCAUUAGACAACAGUGGAAGUGCAGCACCCUCCUCUGUUUAUGUAGCCCCCAAGUGUCAUCUUUCACUCCCCCUUUAGCUGCUUUCCAGAAGUGGGAUCAAAGCUAGAGACAAGCAGUGUGUUCGUGUCUGGAUUGUGGACGUGUCUGUAUGCCAGUUUCCAGUACGCUGAGGGGCUGGCGUUUUCAGCAUGGUUCUCAGAAGUCUGACUAAGUUCUAGGAAGAGAGAAAAGGGGUCAUGCUGGGUCAGUCACAAACAUUUAAUGAAAAACAUUGUUCACAAAACAAUAAACAGACAUUCUUCGUAUAAACCAAAUUGAUCCCAAUAAAAAGGGAUAAAAGUGAAUUUGACGGAGGAAAGGGAUUAUUAGGCCGAUUGUUAACAGAUAUGAUAUGAUUUCUUUUAUUCAUCUUUGAUACCAGAGAAUCAUAUUUACCAAGGAAGUGUGGAGUCAAACUGACUGUUACCAUUAUGAUUUGGCCAUACACUCUAAUGGAAACCACUCAUUUUGAUGAAUUUAUUGUAAUUGUAUCAUCUGGUUGUCAUUUUUUGACAAUGAGGCAGAAAGCAUGAAGUCUAUGCGGUAUCAAGCACUGUAUCAAAACAUUAUGCCUUUGUACUCUUGCUCAUGUAAUAAUAAAAGUAUUGAUAAUACUUUAGAUAUACUUUAGAUAGAAAUGAGAGCACUGUUUGGACUGAUUUUGAGAUGCUGUCUAGCUAGCUAACUUAGCCAGCUCUCUAACGUUAGUUAAGUCAGCAAAGUUAGCUCUCGGCCGGGUGGUAGCAUUCAUAGCCUAUAUCUUUCUUCACACCCAUCCAUACACAUGUCCAUGCAUACCGCUAUCACUGUACAAACACAUAUAUGAUGGUUGAAUUAUACAGUUGAAUACAAAUUAAUUAGAAUAGCCUGACUUAAUUUUAUAGGUCCGGUAUCAUGUAAAUACAUAUGAAUUAUUAUAAAGUAAAUGAGGAAUGAACCUGACGGGCUGGCCCGCUAUUGGAAAAAAUGUAUGACGGUACGACAAAGUACACUAUUUUCCAAUAACAGGACAGCCGAGAGUGGUUUAUUCCGCUUAUACAAUGGUUACCAACAACAAUUACAUAUCAGUUACGUUUAUCUUUAUUGAUUUUUUAUCGACUUACUCAUGUUGCUGUCUAACUGCUUUAGAAGGCUGGAUUUUGUAGCGUAUUGAUUUUAAAACUGUUAAAAGGCAGAAGUGUCCCGUUAUUGAAAGUGAAUGCACAACCUUGGACCAAUCAGAAUUGAGUAUUCAGCCAAACAGCUGUAUAAGUAAGGAGUAAACCAUGACAGGUUGUCCUGUUCUCGGAAAAUAAUGUACGAUGGGGGUGGUGAUGAGGUGAUGCCAAACAACAAAUCAUGUGCCAAAUGUUAGAGAUUUGUGACUGCACUGAAGAAGCCUACAGGGAUCUAAUGGUGCUAAGACCAGGCUGGUGUAUGAAUAAACAGGAACUAGACCUCACAUAAAGAGAAAGCCUUCAAGGGGAAGGGAAAUCUGGAGCCUGUUUUUGAUUAGAGAUAAAGGGGUUUCAGGGUAGCCAUAUGAUCUUGUAAAAGAUCUCUUGGUGUAGCAUUUUAUUUCACAUAGCAUUUUAUUUCACAGAAGUAAAGUUAUAAAAAAAACUACUUUUUAUUGAACAUGUACUCUACAAUCUCUCAUGAGCUUUCAUGGAAGUGUUCCCCCAGUUAUUAAAUGAGUUGAUAAAGGUGUCAUAAAUCCUCAGAGUGUUAACAAUCAUUAUUUUUCCAUUUGUCUUGUGAUUUACAGAUUUAUACUGGGGCAAAAAUGUGGUAUAGUUUCAUAAUUUCAAGAGAUCAUUUUAAAGCGACUGUAGCCAUCAUGAAAACAUUUCAAACUAAGUCUACUGACGGAAACCAGGCCAUUCCGGUAUGGUCGGAAGGUUGGUCAGAGACGAGUGUAAAUCCUAUGUGUAUUAUCACCUAUCCUUUUGGCUGUAAAUGUCAAAUGUAAACAAAAACACAUUUUCACUGUACAAAAAUGCCAAGUUACUCACGUAUGCAAAGAAUACAAAGCAUGUUCUCUUGAGAUGGUGAGAUGAAAAACAUAGGGCCAAAUUACAUAAAAUAAUUUAGGGAAAAUUGGGUAACAUUGCUUUGGAAUAGAGCUUGUUUAAUUUGUUUAAUAUUGCUUGUUGUAACUUUGCCUUAUUUUGAAAUCGAUACUUUUAAUGGAAGGCCAAAAUUUUGCAAGUUUUAAUUAAAGGCUUCUAGACAGUGCUUUAUGCAUUAGUAACUUACCAUUUUUGUAUGCUGAAAAUGUGUUUAUGUUGAUAGAGAAUGAAUUUUAAUGAAACAUGAAUGAGUUUCCCACAAAGAUUAUACAGCUGUGACAAAGAAGAAGAAUAAGAAACACAAAAGGUUUGGGGCUUUAUUGUGUGGAAAUGUGAAGCUGUUUGUGAAUUUUGUCUGUUUAUAUGAGGUCAGAAGGCACAGAACUUAAUGUUCUGAAGGGCUGGUCAUUGUGGUUAUUUCUGUUGGAAACCCUGAAAAGUGCCAAACCCUGGGUACUGAAUGGGUAUGGGGCAUGCUGCCCCACCAAGCUGUAACUUGGCAGGAUGGCAUGUAUGGCCAAUGUGUGGUAAUACAGAAUAUAGUCUCUUUGGGAUUUGAGUUAAUCGUUUUGAGUUCUACUCAUUUUCAUCAUAAAAGCAUCAGUUCUGGUUUUGUUUCCUGAAGACAUGCAUGAUUUCUUUCACAUGAAGAAAAAUGUCUCCUUUGUUGGCACCUAACGAGGGAUUUAUAAUUUUUAUAAUUUUUCCAAACUUUGCCAAUCAAAUGACCUCUUUUCAUUUCCGUGGUUUACCACUGCAACGGAAAACAAGAAUAUGCUCAUCAUAAGAAGCUUCUCCCAAGAGGAAACUGAUGCUGUUGUGUGGGAAGUGUAGAGUAGAGCUGUCACCUUUUCCAAGAAUUCAAAAGAAUAAAUAAGAGAAAUUUGUUAGAAUUUUCUACCACCAAAAUUUCAAUGAAACGUAUAAUGAAAUGUAUAUUAUUAUGGUGUAUGGUGUGACCUGUUGUUAAAUAGCUUAAACGCACUAUGCUAGAACUACAACAUAAUGACAAAAGAAUUUUGAAGUUGUAUUAAAAUAAAACCAGGGAAGAUCAUAACAAUUCCAGUUAUGUUGUUCGCCGUAAUGAACUCAGUAGAUAGUCUGUUGCUCAAAUGAAAAGAAAAAUUAUAACGCAUGAGCUGGGAGACCAUAUAUUGGAUUUCACGAAAAGAGGAUGAAUGGGCAGGGAUUAUGAACAUAAUACAUAAUAAUCCUCCAUUUCAAAUGUAUUACCUACAGGCUACAUGGAUAGCAUGAACCACAUAUUAAUUUUAUUUUUAGGCUACCUAACGGCAUACGGACAUUACUAAUGCAGUUAAUGCAUGUAGUUUGCAUGUAGCUAUGAUUUUAACUACAGUCACAAAAUUGAAAAGAUUUUUCAAGUAGCAUUUAUUGUCAUUCUUCUCAUUACUGACAGAUGUAAGACAAAAACAGAAAACGUUUUACCAUAAACAAUUAAAAACAGAAAAAAAUGCUUGAAUUAACAUUAAGAAAAAAACUACCUAUGUAACUUGUGGCAUAGACAUGGUCUGAGCAGACACAAUGCAGGCACAAAUGCUGACACCAAAAUUGCGAUCAGCUGCACCAAAAUUGCAGUGCGCUGCUUGAAAUUCACUGACACAUCCCCAACAGCACCUCUCCUCCAACUUUGGCGCACGUCGAGUCAUCAAAUUACCAAAUUGUGUUGCAAUCCAUGACAAAAUUACAACUUCACCAGUGCGACAGCUGGCCACACGUUGUAUAAUUGCCGUUUGGUUUUCCUUGUGUUUAUUGCAAAUUAAACAGCCAUCUUAGUAACACCUGGUGUUGUUAGGGCAAGUCUGGCCUGCAGGCUGUAGCAGAAUGUGUACUUUUUAAUAUGUUUUUUAUGUAUGCAAUAUUUUCUAUGUAAUCAUGCGGAAUGAAAAUAAUAGCAAUAAUGGGGCUCCUCAAAGCUCUGUUAUGCAGUUGAACUAGAUAUUUGGGUAAUAGCCUUGUUUUCAUUCAAAGGACAGAGUGAUCUAGAUGCCUUAAUGUUUUCUGCCCUGCUGUUUGUGGACUGAGCGAGUUCUUUCUUAAUGAGCUUGAGUAGGUGGCCUCCAGAUGAAAGUAUUGUGAUGCUUUAAUUGUUGUUGGCAUGUCUUGUUUACAAAAUAAAAAUUUUGGUUUGAAAA